This 10667-nucleotide unclassified non-coding RNA is filed under the name Nilaparvata lugens (brown planthopper). RNAcentral describes it as "uncharacterized LOC111045830, transcript variant X2". Lineage: Eukaryota; Metazoa; Arthropoda; Insecta; Hemiptera; Delphacidae. The record is from RNAcentral.
GUUGCAAGAUGGCGAUUUGGUGAAUGUUAUUGGUUAGUAGAAAGUUUCUAAAUAGUAAUGGAAAUGUUGAGCUGUAGUAAAUGUCUUGUCAAUUAUGAAGUAGUGCUAUUUAGUGAAAAUUUUGUGUUCCAUGGAUAGAUAAAGUGAGAAAACUCUAUAGGUGUGUGUGUUUGAAAAAUCCAGAUGAAAAUUCUCUGUACAAUCGUCGACUAGCUUGAAUCUGAUUUGCUCAUAAUGACGUUUUUCCAUUUAUCACCGUUUAAUUCAAUAUAAUGAACUCAUCGGUUAGUUCCAAGCGUUUCUACGAAUGAUAUCAAUUUAGUGUUUCAAAAAACUAGGGAGUUCUAGUUCGGUUUGUGCUAUUGAGUUUCAAAUGAGAGUGAGAGUUGUAUCAAUCAAUUUACCAUCAAAAGAGACAACGUCUGAGAGAAAAUUAUUUUUGUUCAAGUUUUGCCAACCUACGAUCUAAUUAACCAUUAAUUAUUGAUCCGCCGUUGCGAAAUUGCCUAAAUCAACUAGAAUAAUCUGAAAUAUUGUGUGUGAUAGCUUCAAUUGAUUUUGGCGUAACAUACAUGAUUUGGGUAACUGAAUACCCUCUGUGUGAAUGGUACUAUUGAUCAUUGUUUCACACAUUUGAGCCCGGCAACUAAGUAAUCACCUAUUGCUUAACGUUCUCGUUUAUUACUGCAUUAUACAUUUUUUCGGUCAACUAAAUAGUUAUCCCCUGAGUAAACGGUUCUGUGAACAGUGUAGGUGGUUAUUGUGUAACACUGGGCCCGGCACCUCCUGUUUGACCGGUAUCUUUUAUUACUGUGUUGUCAUCGAAAUAGUUGUCAUCGGUGUGAACGGUAUCAUAGUUCGCUGUUUAACACAUUUUUGUCGGGCAACUAAAAAAUCGGCGAGUUUGUAAACGGCGCCAUCUAAAUGUGUGCUGCACAAAGGAUGCGUUUACGUGUGAAACGGUAAUGUUGCGCGACAGUGGGUACAGUGAGGAGCAGGGGGGCUCAUGCGGCGGAGGGGCCCUGAAACUCCCUCCGAUGGCAGCCGACGACCUCCGGGAGGCUUCCCUCGGCGAGGAUCCUCCUUCGAACCGCGACUCGCGGGUGACGGGACCCUCGUGCCUCGCGCUGCGUCAUGCUGUUUCCGGGUUGCAUCGGCUGGACGACUUCAAUCGCGAGAAAAUCGGCUCAGGAUUCUUCUCUGAGGUCUUCAAGGUUACUCACCGAGUGACAGGGCAAGUGAUGGUGUUGAAGAUGAACCUCCUGCGCUCCAAUCGACCCAACAUGCUCAAAGAGGUCCAGCUCAUGAACCAGCUCUGUCACGCCAAUGUACUGGGGUUUAUGGGUGCUUGUGUCCAUGAGGGUCAACUACAUGCAUUGACUGAGUAUAUCAAUGGAGGGAGUUUGGAGCAGUUGAUUCAGAUGACGUCGGUUGAACUGAGCUACAGGGUGCGCGAGAAGCUGGCACUGGACAUAGCACGGGGCAUGGAGUACCUCCAUUCCAGGGACGUCUUCCACAGGGACCUCACUUCCAAGAAUGUACUGAUCAAAAAGAAUGAAGUGACCGGUGAGCUAACAGCUGUAGUUGGCGAUUUCGGGUUGGCUGCUAAAAUACCCAGGUCGGGUGGCUACCGUCUGCACACCGUCGGCUCCCCGUACUGGAUGUCGCCCGAAUGUCUGAAGGGCGAGUGGUACGACAACAGCUCAGACAUCUUCAGCUACGGCAUCAUCCUGUGCGAGCUGAUCGCGCGAUGCGAGGCUGACCCUGAUGUCUUACCGAGAACUGAGAACUUUGGCCUCGACUACCUCGCUUUUGUCGAACUGUGUUCGGAUCCGCCCGCUGAUUUCCUCAAGCUUGCCUUUUCUUGCUGCAAUUACGAACCAAAGAGCCGUCCCUCGUUCGCCGACAUCGUUCGACUGCUGGAGCGGUCACUGGAGCAACCAGUGGUGGCCACCCCCAGCCCUGUCACACUCGGCCACUGCAAGUCGCCGGGCAUAGGUGCACGUACACUGGUGGGUAGCCCCAGUCCUGUCACACUCGGCCACUGCAAAUCGCCUGGCAUAGGUGCACGCAGCGAGGAGGUGCUACCCACCACAGAGUCGCAGCAACCGCCAUCUACCAGUCGAAAAUUAAUCCACCGUCGCUCGCUGUCAGAAGACGUGGGCCUGCUUGUCUUCCCGCCACACACGGCGCCCAGCGACAAGGCUCGCUGCCACUUCCUCAGCGUCGCAUCGCCGCUGAAGCAUGUCGGCGAGGAGAUGGCCCGCGGCGAUCCUCACUACAAGCCAUCCUCGUCGAAGGCCAACCCGUUCACGGCACUCGGCCAGUGCAAGGGUGUCAAGAUCCUCGCCUCGACCAACUCAACCGACCUGUUCUCGUCCUGCUUCGAGUUGCCCUCACCGUCGCCGUUCCGGUCGGCCGAGGAGAAGUCGCUCAACCCGUUCGAGUCGUCGUUUGAAGGCAAAACUAAACUGGACCUACCUUGCAGCCAUAGUCAUCAACAUAGAACGGGGGAUAACUCCCUCAAAAAUGCAGACACAAGGGUGGUUCCUUGUAGGAAAUGUUGUUCUGAAGGUACUGAACUCCCUAAAACAGCAGACCAUGUCCACAUCUGUACUCACCACCAACCGAAAUGUUGUCCUGAAAGUUCAGAUCUUCUUAAAACAACAGAUCAUAUCCACUCAUGCAAUCGCCACCAACAGAAAUGUUGUCCUGAUGGUUCAGAGCCCCUUAAAACCAACCCCAAUCUGCCCUGUAGUAGUCACCAACAGAAGUCUAGUGAUGAUAGUGCAGAAACUCAACCAAAACCAGACCCCAGUGUAAUUGUGGAGCCAGUCGUGAAACCUUCGCACAUUCUCAAAUACAACAAUCAAAAUAGGUGUAAACAAAGACAAUGUGAAACUAGUGAUAGUAAUGUUAGUUGUAAGGAUAGUUGUGAGGAGCGGGAUGGGGCAUCUAGUACAAUGACUAGGAAUAGCUUUACACAAGUGAGAGAGUUGAGGAAGACUGGUGGAGUUAGAGGGAGAGGGUCAACAGCUUCAGAAUCAACAAGAGGGUUGCCAACUUCAGAAUCAACAAGUGAAGGGUUGACAAGUUCGAGCUCAACAACAAGGGACCAGAGAAAGACUGGAGAUGUGUUGAGUAGGGUGGGGCCGAUCGAUUCUAGAAUGUUCUACACGUUUAGAAAGGAGUCGUCAAAGUCACCGGAAACUAUAAGUGAUGACGGGAGAAGAAUGGCAGAGUCAAGAACAGUUACAACAGCAUCAAAAAUAUCCCCUAUGGAAUCCAUAAAUGAUGAUGGAAGAAGGGGGAUGGUAACAUCAACAGAAUCAAAAAUAUCUUCAAUGGAAACAUGUCCAACAGAAUCAAAAAUCCCGAAUGAAUCAAGGGCUUCAAGGAAGAGUGAUGGAGUGGAUGCUGCAAAAGUGAGAGUGUCAUCGUCGAAUGAGGAUGCAAGGUUUGAGAGGACACAUAGUGAACCUUUGGAAUCAUCUAGUGGCUCACCUUCAACAGUUGUUUCAAAACAAUCAGCAGAUGGAGAUGUGGAAGAUGACAAGGAUGUGAGACUGAGUGCAGGUGGCAGUGCUGUGGCUGGUGGCUCAUUUCGUGUGGAGCCGCCAAGGUACUACACCGGCCUCAAGACAAAACCCAUGUCGCUUCCAUCCUCACCAACGUUUUCCAGAAGGAGAAGCACAAUGACAGUCCUGGCCACCGAUCUCUUCACAAGGUUCACCAAGUCACAUCUGUCCAAGUCAUCUGGCGGCUAUGAUGAGUCACUUAGGUUCCUGGGAGCCACAUCAUCACCUCUGCACUACACCGUCCACACAGACCCGCAGAAACGGAUUCCGUCCCUGUUUGCUCACCCGCUGUUCAACAAACCCCAUGGACACCAUCUCCACCACCACCCGGCCGCUUUGAUGAUGGUAGAUGAUGGCAAAUGUGCGCAGUCGGCGUUUCUGCCGCCUCUGCGCACGUGUUCGUCGAGCUCGAAUAUUGGCGCAACUCACCUGGAUGAUCUGCCGACCUCUCCACCAGGCGGCCUCGUGCUUCCGGGCGCUUUCUUCCACCCGGGCCCCGUGGUGCCGGCCGGACAGGGCUUGAGGCGGCGCGGCUCCUGCGAAUCGGGCUUCUUCAGCAAUCUGGGCGAGGAUUUUUGUCUUCCAGGUGUAGAAACAGUGACGGCCUCCUCAGUAACACUCUCCUCGUCGUCGGCCACCUCCUCUCUGUUCCUCGACUCGGGCGCCACUGUCUCCUGCAGCCUGGAGGACAUAGCCACGCCCCUGCGCGGCUGUGGUGGAGGGGGAAUGCUGCACUGUGGUGGCGGUGCGGUGGGAGGGGGAAUGCUGCACUGCGGUGGGGGCGGCGGUGCGGUGGGAGGGGGAGGCAAGCGAUCGUCGUCUGUCUACACGGACAGCAGUGAGGAUGUCAGCAGUCUUGGCGGAAGUGACUUGGCGGCCGCUUGGGAUGAUCGUGCCGCUUCCUUGCAGGCAGCUCCACAGCAAAUCAGCAAAAUCGUCGAGUACUUUGAGCGCAAACAGUCGAAUGUUGCCCUGUCAUCGAGCCGGUGGGACCAUGUGGACCCCAUCUCCUCCUCUUCGUCACACGUGUUCAGCGCCUAUCCACAGCGCCAGUACCACCAACUCAACCAUCGCGAGUACUACCAACUGCGCCGCUGCUAUCUGCAACAGGAGGCCACCAGGAGCAGCAACCUGCUACCAGGCGCCGAUAGGAGCAGCAGCCUGGUACCGACACCAGCAGGUCUCGCAAAUGCCGGCUUUGUGACGUCACACGCGCCGGCGCACAAACGCGGCAUCAAUCAGCGGCUGAUGAUCUGCGAGGGGGCCGUCAGAUCCAAGCUGCCGAUCUUUGAUAAGAAAAUGACUGAUUGAUGGAUGUGGAGUGCAGAUAGAGGCAAGGAUUGAGGGGUGAGAUCAUUGAUUAGUCAAAUUAUUGAUGUUUCCAUAUUUCUCUUCUAAAAGAACUUUAAAAUUAAGAAACCACAUUUCAUAGUAUGUACUAACAGCAAUUUGAUUGGGAAAUGGCUGAUAGAUUGAUAUCCAAUACAAAUAGAAGGAAUGAUAAAGGCUCAACUCACACUUACGCGACUCAGGUCGAGAUGAGACUCGACUCUAAUCGAGAGCAUGUGUUUUCAAAUGGUGACACUCAGACCAGUCGAUUCUAGUCUUCGCGACGUCAACAUUUGAAAAUACAUGCUCUCGACUAGAGUCGAGUCUCUUCUCGACCUGAGUCGCGUAAGUGUGAGUUGAGCCUAAGAGACCAUUUUUCAUAGGAGCAAUUUGAUUAGGAAAUGGCUGAUAGAGUGAUGUCCAAUACAACUAGAAGGAAUGAUUAAGAGGUGAAGUGAUUUUUCUCCAUUCGUAUUGAUUUUUACAUUUGUCUACCGUAAGUUUAAAAAUCAAAGAUUGUCAAACAAUUUUCAUCUAUUCUUAUAGUGCCCCUGUUUUGUGACCAAAAAAUGGUGGAUUGAUGGCUGUUGAAUGAAGCUAUGAGAAAAUAAUUGUUGAGUGUGAUAAUCGAUGAUUCAAAUUCUAAUUUCUAUAUUUUAUGUCUACAAAAAGGAAAAAACUCGAAGAUUGUCAAACCAUUUUGAAUAUAAUCUACUAAUAGUGAUUUGGUUAGAAUAUUGCUGAAUUAUAAAUGUUGAAGGCAGCUAGAAGGAAUGGUUGUCAGGGUGAGAUGAGUGAUUGGUUGAGUUCAAGUUAUGUUGUGGUAUUCUUAUAAAAUAGAAAUUUAAUCAAUGGGUCACAUAGAAAGGAAUAUCUUCUAAAUUGUUAGCUAGUCAUUCAGUAUUGGAAUUAAUUGUAUGGUAUAUAAAUGGAAGAACUUGAAGAUUGUAGGAAUCACUCGUAGUAAAAAGUAAAUUCGUAUGGCUUUUGUUGGUGGGGAGUCCCUUGCGGGAAGGUCCCACCGCCCGAAUAUAUAAUUGAAGCCGUCAAUGGGCCUCAUUCGUAGUGUCCCAGUUUGAUGAAAAAACGGAAAAUCCAUGUCAAAUUCGGAUGAAUUGCAAGUAAUGUUACCUUGCUUGAUGAGAGACGUGGUAUUUGAUGCAUUUACACAAAAUGAAAUGAACAUUGUCGAACCAUUUUCAGUAAUUCCUAAUGAGUUGGAAAACGAAUAGAAUGAACUGCUUCACUAAUAUCUAAAGAUAAUAUAAUAAAUGAAUAACAAAUACAAUAAUAAUUGAAUUUGUGGUUUCAAUUAAUUGUUUAUGUUUGACAAUUUCAAGCUCUUUUAUAUCUAUGAUUGAUUCAUUAAAUUGGUGUCAAUUUGAACCAAUUCAAUCUCUUGUUUUGUAGACAGCUAUAUGUUGUGGUUUUGUGAGACUUACGUUUUGUUGAUAAAAUAGAAGUUUGAUUAAUUGAAUCUUUUCUAAUUAAUGAUUUUAAUAAGAUUGAUGCAGCAGCUACACAAUCAAGAUCUUUACAUUAUGAUUACAUACUUGAGUCAAGUAAGUCUUGGGAAGCUAUGAACAGAACUUGAGGAUUGCAAUACCCGAGUUAGACUUGAGAAAGCCGUAUAUACUUUGGGUCGAGUAGUUUCCGUCAGAUAAGUUCUCUAACAAACUAUUUACAAUAAACGGGUAUCUAUUCUAUUUAUUUUCACUAUUUUAUUUGUUAUUUCCCUAUUUAUUUACUAAAAAUAAGAGUUUUUAAUGAACAAAUAUAGAGAAUCUAUGCGGGUUACAAUCCUAAUUUUGAAGCAUUUAAGCUUCAACCCCUACAUUUUUGAAGCUUGGAGGUUGUAAACCGUCUUCUAUAAACUGAAUUGAAUCCUAUUAAGAUCUUGUUUUCCCGAAUCAAUUGAUUCAUGAUGAUAUUAUUAGUUCGUUUACUCAGUUCCUAUUAUUUUCUUCGGUCAAAAAUGUUUUGAAAGGUUUCCUUAACAAUGGAACUUUUUUAAAAGUUCAGUCUCUAUCAUUUUGUUAUUUUGCUUUUGUCUCAAACUAUUCGUUUGAUUAAAAUGCUUUAUAAUAAUAUUAACUUGGAAUGUGAUCAAAUUUAGCAUAUUAAUGAGAGAUAUGUUCCGUUUGAAAAAACAUGGAAAGUAAUAACGAUUUUAUUUCUAAUCUAUUGUCAAUCAAUUACAGAAAAAGUGAUCAAAUCCGGUGUAUAUUGAUCGGGAAAAACUCUGUUCAAAAAUGUAUUUAUCCGAGCAACAACUAAGAACACUGAAAUUAAUAUGGGGCUUUAGUGGUUGUAAUUAUCAAUUUCAAAAACGAAUGCUAAUAAAUUGAGAUUUAGAAAUAGAUGAAGUUUGAAUAUUCAGGGAGAUGAUAAGUAAUAGCAUUGUAAUUUUGAUAGAUGAAUCGUGAAUGUUGUGUUUUAAUGUAAGAUGAUGCUCAAGAUAUUGAUGUGAAAUUGCCGAUUUUGCUCGGAUUACGAGAACGUGGUAAAGUCCAAUAGAUAAUUAUUAUUAAAAUUGAAGUUAGAUAUGUAUGAAUGAGAAAUAAGAAUAGUUUUUUUGGAAGAGGGAUUGAAUUAAUAAUUAUUUUAAUCCCUUACUCACGAGUUGUAUACUAGUUAAUCAAAAUUAGAAGAUGCCUCAAGGAACUUUUAAUAUUUUUGUCUUUAAUAAUUAUAGUAUUUAUGAGAAAAACGUUCGUAUUUUUCGAAAAAUAAUUCAACAUUUAUUCUAUUAGAAAACUUAACUUCAAUGUUCAUGCUCCUUUGUUGACUGUUAAUAAGCUCAAUAAAUAUUUGCAAUCGUUAGCAAUAUCCUAAAAAUAUUUCAGGGAAAUUAUUGUGUCUAUGAUUACUGAAAGCAAUGAAUUGUAUUCGAUUUAGGGUAAAACAAACUUCUACCACCUGCCAGAAUUUAUUUUUAAAACUGAUUUAUUGGCACUCACCUAGUGGUGCGGAGCCCACCUAAAUGCACCGUCAUAAAAGAGCACCCAUUAGGGCCUCUUACCAAAGAAUAUUGUAAAUUUUUCCAAUUUUUAGAGUCCUUCAAAAUAAAAGAUUAAAUUAGUUUGGUUGUAAUGUUUAAUAAUACAUGUCCCUCUUUUUGAAUAACUCUUCUGGUCUAGUAUUAACAUUGUUUUAUAAUUAUGUAAUAUGAAAUCUCUAUUUCCUAGCUCUUCCUUCAUGGUAUAUAAUAUUUCAAGUUACCUAAUUGUUUCUAAGAAACUGAAGUAUACCAAUUGAUGUAUAAAUUUAUAAAACUUCAACAUUUUCAAAUCCAUGUGGUAUUCAAAUCAAUCCUUGAUUCAUUAUUUUUUCAUAAUUUUCAUUUUUCUCUCAUCCUUACUAGUAAACAUUCAUAAUAACACCCUUCCCUCAAAAAUUAUGAAUCCCUUGAACUCAUUCAUAAAAUCUCUGCUGUUGCAUCUGAACAAUCUAGAUUUGAAUUCAACCAAAUGCAAGAUUGAAAAUCUCCGAAAUAUUACUAUUGUAUUUACUUGAAAAUCGUGAAUUUUAGUCAUCGUGUGUAAAAGAAAAGCUUGAAAGAACAAAAAUGAAGCGAAUAAGGUUACUGUAUGUUUAGAUUAGAAAGACUGAUUGAUUAAAACAAAACUAAUAUUUUGAUAGAAAAAAGGAUAUCACAGUAUUGUUUGAAUAUUUUAAAACAAAAAUUCAAUGUGCAAUUGAUGUUAAUUUUAAUCUAAUACUAGAUGAACAAAGAUCAAAUAUACUCUAUAAUAUUACAAUUUUAUUAUGUCAAGUCAGGAAUGUAAACUUGAUAUUCGUAAUAAGAUAAUACUCAUGAGAGAUGUGUAAAGUAUUCUUAGUAUAAAUUUUUAAGUUAGCCGAUUAGCUCUUGCAAUAAAUCAUAUUGUUGGGUGAGACAUGUAAGGUAUGUGUAUAAAUGUAAAGAAUCACUUUUUCAUUACCAAAAAUCAAUAAAAUCAAUUUAUAUCCUAAGUAAUAAUUGUCUGUAAAUAUUGUUGAUGAUUAUUAUUCUGUAUAGGUAUUAUCAUACUUUUUAUUCAAAUAGAGUGUGAGAAUGUGUGUGUGUGUGUAUGUGUUUGGGAUCUAAUACUUGAGUGUAAACGGUUGUAAGUAAUCUAAUGUACGUAAGUUUUCAUAUCAUAAUUGUUUUAUGAUUAUGAUUUUCGUAUUCUGAUGUUCCUAUAUUUCGUCAAGUUUUGAUGGUAUCUUUUAUCCUUGAAUGAUUUUAAAGUGGGUUUGUUAGUGAGGUUUCAAAUAUGUUUUAUAAAACUAUGAUUUUAUUACAACGAAUACUCACAAAUAGUUGCUAGUUUUUCUCUAUGCAGCUCAAAACGAUAAUACAAGCAGUGUCUUAUUUGAUUUACUCUGAUAUUGAAGUGUAUUUUUGUGUUUCGCCUCUCAAAAGAUUAACUAAAAUUAUCGUAAGAGUAUAUAUGUUUGAACAGGAAGUAUAGGUUUACUAAAGUUUCAAAGCAUCCGUUUAUUCUAUAACUAAAAUUAUCGUAAGAGUAUACAUGUUUGAACAGGAAGUAUAGGUUUACUAAAGUUUUAAGGCAUCCGUUUAUUCUAAAGAACUCUUGAAUGGUGAGGACUUUUAUUAGAUUAUCGUGUAUUUGGCAGAAUUAAAACUACACGAUGACAUCCUCUAAAACAAUUAAGCAGUUGUUACUGUACAACAAAAAUACAAAUUCCAACGUAUUAAAUUACAGUAAAUGUUCCUGCUCCUUGAAUAAAUUUAAAGGUUUAUAGGAUGAUAUUCAUGUUGACUAAAGAAUAUUUUUUUCUAAUACAUUUCGUGUUGAAAUGCUUUAGCUUUGAAACCUCACUAUCAAUUCUUGUAUAAUUUGUUUUCCUCCUAUCCUAUCCUAUCUUAUCACGAAUAUAUUAUUUUUUCACCUUGGACGUAAUACCUCACAUUACAAAGAUUCCUAGGGAUCAUCUAUAUUAAUUAUUAUUGAUAUUCUCAAAUAUCUGAUAUUCAGAUAAAAUAAACUAUCAUUCACACACUACACCAAUUAUAUUAAAAAUAAAUAGUAUUUUCUGCGGGUUAUUGUAAGUGUAUCAGGUUUUGUCUUCCAUUCUUAAAUUGAGAUUUUAAUUACGUGCAUUUUAUUCAAUUUUUUGUUUUCUUGAAAGAAAAGUCAGGAAAUAGGACGGUAUUUAAUAAUUUUUCAGGAAAAUUGUACACAAUGACAAUGAAUGAAAAAUAGCCGAUUGGACGUAAUUCUCCAGAAAUUUUUCAAUGUAAUUCCUGGUCGAAAAUGUGUAUUUAUGUAAGUUACUGUACAUUAAGUUGAUAGAAAAAGAAUAUAAUUUCUGAAACCCUUUUAUGUUCAUAGUAAUAUAUGUUUUUUUAAAUUAACUUGGAGGUAAAUAUUAUCCUAAAUCAAAAUAUAAUUCAACCUCUACUAGAAAAGUGAAUAUUUCAUUUUUCCAGGAUGUAUCCAAGGAUGAUAUUUAAUUUCAUUCGAAUUUCUCCAAGCAUUCUACAUUCUUGAAGGUAUUGUAAUUUCUAUUCAUGUUUUCCUAUCAAUGCGUUUGUGAAAAAUGUUUGCAUUUAAUUAUAUAUAUUGAAUUUGUUAUUACUGUUGAUAAUUUAUUAGUAUUACAAUUAUAUAUAUGUUUAUUAUAUUAGAACACAAAUUCGAAGAGAUGAAUUUUCACAAGUCAAGUAUGGUUUCAAAUAAUACAAAGUAUUUCAAUCAAUUAAUUUUGUUUUUUGUUGAGUAUUAUUAUAAAUGUUAUUUUAUAAAAUUA